GUGCCAGCAGCCGCGGUAAUACAGAGGGUGCAAGCGUUAAUCGGAAUUACUGGGCGUAAAGCGCGCGUAGGUGGUUGGUUAAGUUGGAUGUGAAAUCCCCGGGCUCAACCUGGGAACUGCAUUCAAAACUGACGAGCUAGAGUAUGGUAGAGGGUGGUGGAAUUUCCUGUGUAGCGGUGAAAUGCGUAGAUAUAGGAACGAACACCAGUGGCGAAGGCGACCACCUGGACUGAUACUGACACUGAGGUGCGAAAGCGUGGGGAGCAAACAGGAUUAGAAACCCUGGUAGUCC
This 292-nucleotide ribosomal RNA is filed under the name uncultured prokaryote. RNAcentral's name for it is "partial 16S ribosomal RNA". It matches the Rfam family "Bacterial small subunit ribosomal RNA", at positions 505 to 796 of the family's 1533-position model. The record is from RNAcentral.